GGGGGCGUCACGGUUUCGACGGGAUCGUCAGCGGUAAAGAGGCAUGCCGGGGUGUGUGCACCCGUAAUCGCUCACAAAAACACAAGUGCCGAACCACAAUUCGCACUCGCAGCUUAAUUAAUUAAGUUGCCGUCCUCCGCGGCUUUGCCUGCGGGCUUCGAGAGGACGUCGCACAGCAGGCUGGCUUCUAUCGUUGGGUACGGGCGAUAGAGGCGAGAUCCACGGACUAGCAAUGCGCGCAUCUUGUCCGUUCUGAGCGCGCAAAGCGAAACCUUCGGAACAGGACUGAGCAUGGAGCCUCUCUUUGCUGACUACGAUUUCGGACGCGGGUUCGACUCCCGCCGCCUCCACCA
RNAcentral lists this transfer-messenger RNA (353 nucleotides) under Silvibacterium dinghuense. RNAcentral describes it as "Standard tmRNA". It matches the Rfam family "transfer-messenger RNA". From Rfam's summary of the family: Bacterial tmRNA, also known as 10Sa RNA or SsrA, is named for its dual tRNA and mRNA-like properties. Its role is to liberate the mRNA from a stalled ribosome. The record is from Rfam by way of RNAcentral. Lineage: Bacteria; Pseudomonadati; Acidobacteriota; Terriglobia; Terriglobales; Acidobacteriaceae.